CUUGCAAGGGGAAAACUAAAGGGAAAUUGACGGAGGGACCUUCCCGGGGGGGAUUGGGCGGUUAAUUAACUUAAAGGGGGGAAAAUUACCAGGGUCAAUUCAUUCGUGAUGGAAUACGUGAGAAUGGCAGGAGUGGUGCAUGCCCGUUGGAAAUUGAUGGGGCGACCUUUAGCUUAAAUGCUUAAACCAGUGAGACUUCCUUGACAGGUGUUCUGUAACACAGGAGGGUGGAGGCUAUAACAGGUCCGUGAUGCCCUUAGAUAUCCUGGGCAGCAAGCGCAAUACAAUAUCUCUUCAGUAGACAAAGUGAUUUGAGAUGAGUAGGAUCUACGUUUGUAAAUACGUAGUGAAUAAGGAAUUCCUAGUAACGGUGCCUCAUCAAGGCAUGGUGAAUGUGUCCCUGUUCUUUGUACACACCGCCCGUCACUAUUUCAGAUGGUCAUAGGGAUGAAGAGCUUCGGCUCUGAAUAUCUAUGGCUAGAUAAAGUACAAGUCGUAACAAGGUUUCAGUUGGAGAACCAGCUGAAGGAUCAUUU
RNAcentral lists this non-coding RNA (536 nucleotides) under Enterocytozoon bieneusi H348. RNAcentral's name for it is "Microsporidia small subunit ribosomal RNA". It matches the Rfam family "Microsporidia small subunit ribosomal RNA", at positions 762 to 1311 of the family's 1311-position model. The record is from Rfam by way of RNAcentral. Lineage: Eukaryota; Fungi; Microsporidia; Enterocytozoonidae.